This is a long non-coding RNA of Cygnus olor (mute swan), 754 nucleotides long. RefSeq lists it as uncharacterized. Lineage: Eukaryota; Metazoa; Chordata; Aves; Anseriformes; Anatidae. The record is from RefSeq and is a predicted model, not a curated record. The transcript has 3 exons.
GCUGCAUUUGUUUUUCUGUAGCAGUGUGGUGGACACACAGUGAGGCACCACCAAGGAGCUGCUGCUUGCUCUCAGGAGGCUGGUAGUGAUGUGUUCACCUUACUGAGAGGUAGAUCUCAGGCAGGAUCCUGGUGGCAGUGGCUCAUAGCUGAUGGUGACUGAGGAAUAAUUGACAUUCUGUGAUGCAGAAGAGCAAGGAGGAAAGAGUGAAGUGCAAAUCUGAGAAAUGGGAGGGCAGCAUACCCAGAAGGGCAGAGGCACCCUGAUUUGAAAAUGUCAGUUUGCAGUACACUGGGCAAACUCAUAUGCUGCAAAGGUGAAGAUGUAUUAAGGUAGAUUGUGGGCCAAACAGAGUUUGGUGAUUAAGUGUUGCCACACGAGGAAGCCAGAAUGCAGAAGAUAGCAGUCCCAGCAAACACACCUUCUGCCUAAAAGCAGUAAAAUGUCUGUCACUGAGACCUGGGAGGAAAAAAAACAAUUAUAUGAGUGGAAACCUUGCAUUCCUGAGGCUGUUUCUUGUCUCUUCUGUAUUUUCUCCUGUGUGAUCUUAUGGCUGUAAAAUUCAGAGACGCUUAUUUUCUGUCUAAAAAUGAUUUCAGCAUUGACUGUGCUCAGAAUUUGACUUAAAACUAGGAAAUUCAAACCACUGUUUUUCUCUGUAGUAUGGUCCUAAACAGACUGCAGAGAAACUCAGAUUUAUGAAAAGGACUUUCUGUAUUUUUUCCUGAAAUGAAAUAAAGCUCUUGAUCUCCUG